This 292-nucleotide ribosomal RNA is filed under the name uncultured bacterium. RNAcentral's name for it is "partial 16S ribosomal RNA". The record is from RNAcentral.
GGACUACCCGGGUAUCUAAUCCUGUUUGCUCCCCACGCUUUCGCGCCUCAGCGUCAGAACUGGCCCAGCGAGCCGCCUUCGCCACCGGUGUUCUUCCUGAUCUCUACGCAUUCCACCGCUACACCAGGAAUUCCACUCGCCUCUACCAGUCUCUAGCCGGACAGUCCCGCGUGCCGUUCCGGGGUUGAGCCCCGGGAUUUCACACGCGGCUUACCCAGCCGCCUACACGCCCUUUACGCCCAGUGAUUCCGGACAACGCUCGCACCCUCUGUAUUACCGCGGCGGCUGGCAC